RNAcentral lists this ribosomal RNA (574 nucleotides) under Pestalotiopsis sp. RNAcentral describes it as "eukaryotic LSU rRNA". The stretch from base 198 to 351 matches the Rfam family "5.8S ribosomal RNA". RNAcentral also lists the same sequence under 4 other names. Lineage: Eukaryota; Fungi; Ascomycota; Sordariomycetes; Amphisphaeriales; Sporocadaceae. The record is from RNAcentral.
GGAAGUAAAAGUCGUAACAAGGUCUCCGUUGGUGAACCAGCGGAGGGAUCAUUAUAGAGUUUUCUAAACUCCCAACCCAUGUGAACUUACCUUUUGUUGCCUCGGCAGAAGUUAUAGGUCUUCUUAUAGCUGCUGCCGGUGGACCAUUAAACUCUUGUUAUUUUAUGUAAUCUGAGCGUCUUAUUUUAAUAAGUCAAAACUUUCAACAACGGAUCUCUUGGUUCUGGCAUCGAUGAAGAACGCAGCGAAAUGCGAUAAGUAAUGUGAAUUGCAGAAUUCAGUGAAUCAUCGAAUCUUUGAACGCACAUUGCGCCCAUUAGUAUUCUAGUGGGCAUGCCUGUUCGAGCGUCAUUUCAACCCUUAAGCCUAGCUUAGUGUUGGGAAUCUACUUCUCUUAGGAGUUGUAGUUCCUGAAAUACAACGGCGGAUUUGUAGUAUCCUCUGAGCGUAGUAAUUUUUUUCUCGCUUUUGUUAGGUGCUAUAACUCCCAGCCGCUAAACCCCCAAUUUUUUGUGGUUGACCUCGGAUCAGGUAGGAAUACCCGCUGAACUUAAGCAUAUCAAUAAGCGGAGGA